CUUUAGUUUGAUCAUGGCUCAGGAUGAACGCUGGCGGCGUGCCUAAUACAUGCAAGUCGUAGCGAAUGGAUUAAGAGCUUGCUCUUAUGAAGUUAGCGGCGGACAGGUGAGUAACACGUGGGUAACCUGCCCAUAAGACUGGGAUAACUCCGGGAAACCGGGGCUAAUACCGGAUAACAUUUUGAACCGCAUGGUUCGAAAUUGAAAGGCGGCUUCGGCUGUCACUUAUGGAUGGACCCGCGUCGCAUUAGCUAGUUGGUGAGGUAACGGCUCACCAAGGCAACGAUGCGUAGCCGACCUGAGAGGGUGAUCGGCCACACUGGGACUGAGACACGGCCCAGACUCCUACGGGAGGCAGCAGUAGGGAAUCUUCCGCAAUGGACGAAAGUCUGACGGAGCAACGCCGCGUGAGUGAUGAAGGCUUUCGGGUCGUAAAACUCUGUUGUUAGGGAAGAACAAGUGCUAGUUGAAUAAGCUGGCACCUUGACGGUACCUAACCAGAAAGCCACGGCUAACUACGUGCCAGCAGCCGCGGUAAUACGUAGGUGGCAAGCGUUAUCCGGAAUUAUUGGGCGUAAAGCGCGCGCAGGUGGUUUCUUAAGUCUGAUGUGAAAGCCCACGGCUCAACCGUGGAGGGUCAUUGGAAACUGGGAGACUUGAGUGCAGAAGAGGAAAGUGGAAUUCCAUGUGUAGCGGUGAAAUGCGUAGAGAUAUGGAGGAACACCAGUGGCGAAGGCGACUUUCUGGUCUGUAACUGACACUGAGGCGCGAAAGCGUGGGGAGCAAACAGGAUUAGAUACCCCUGGUAGUCCA
RNAcentral lists this ribosomal RNA (813 nucleotides) under Bacillus thuringiensis. RNAcentral's name for it is "bacterial SSU rRNA". It matches the Rfam family "Bacterial small subunit ribosomal RNA", at positions 1 to 797 of the family's 1533-position model. The record is from RNAcentral. Lineage: Bacteria; Bacillati; Bacillota; Bacilli; Caryophanales; Bacillaceae.